UAAUUACGAAAACACUGAUUUCGAUAAUGCCAUUAUAAAAUUGGCCCGAGAAAAAGAAAUCAAGCGGCAAACGUUGCUGGAACUGCUCGAUUAAAUUCAAUCUGGGUCUGGCAAAAUCACAGAGAUUUUCCAGGAAGAGAUGAUUAAAAUGGUUGGAAUCAACAUUUUUCCGUCCCUACCUCCGGCGUCUCAUGAAAAUACAGGGCAAGGUGCCUCGGAUCCUGAAGAAGAGGAACCCUAUUUGGAUCCUACGUGGCCACAUUUACAGAUUGUAUACGAGCUUCUCUUGAGAUAUGUUGUGUCCUCGGAUAUCGAUACUAAAGUUGCAAAGAAAUACAUUGAUCAUUCCUUCAUUUUGAAGUUGCUUGAUUUGUUUGAUUUGGAGGAUCCCGGGGAAAGGGAGUUUUUGAAAACGAUUCUUCAUACGAUUUAUGGUAAAUUCAUGGUGCAUCGAUCAUUUAUUAGGAAGGCGACAAAUAAUAUCUUCUAUAGGUUUAUAUAUGAAACAGAGAGGCAUAGUGGGAUCGGGGAGCUUCUGGAGAUUCUGGGGAGCAUCAUAAAUGGGUUCGCAUUGCCUAUGAAAGAGGAACAUAAGUUGUUCCUUGUGAGAGCGUUGAUUCCUUUGCAUAAGCCGAAACCUAUUGCCAUGUAUCAUCAGCAAUUGUCUUAUUGUAUUAUACAGUUUGUUGAGAAGGAUUGUAAGCUAGCUGAUACGGUUAUUAAAGGGUUGUUGAAGUAUUGGCCUUUGACUAAUUGUCAGAAGGAAGUUCUCUUCCUCCGGGAACUUGAGGAAGUACUUGAAGCAACACAGUUUGCUGAGUUCCAACGAUGUAUGGUUCAGCUUUUCAGACAGAUUGCACGUUGCCUCAAUAGCUUACAUUUCCAGGUUGCAGAAAGAGCCCUUUUCUUGUGGAAUAAUGAACACACUGUGAACUUAUUUGCCCUGAAUCGGCAGGUAAUAUUACCAAUCAUAUUUGAGGCGUUGGAGAGGAAUAUCCGCAGUCAUUGGAAUCAGGCAGUUCAUGGGUUGACCAUGAAUGUGCGGAAGAUGUUCAUGGAAAUGGAUGCUAAUUUGUUUGAUGAGUGUCAGAAAGAGUUUGCAGAGAAAGAAGCCAGAACCCAAGAGGUGGAAGAGCAAAGAGAAAUGACAUGGAAAAACUGGCAGAUGUGGCAGCGGAGAGAGGAAACAAUAUGGUAACAGUGUAACCGAUUAAUGAAGUAAUUCGUUUUGGGAUAGUGGCUCUGCUGCAGUUCCCUUCUCCAUUUUGGUGAGGAAGGCAUGUUGAAGAAAGGUCCAUGGAGAACCUCAGCUGGAAAAACAAUUCCUAAAAUCCAUAGAGGCCAUUGUGGAAGCGGCAGGACCCGAAUGCAUUGUGCCAGCCCUGAUUACACCUCUUAGAUUACUUGGUCUCAAGGUGUGCCGAUUGACGUUAACAUGAAAUAUUUGGAACCAGUCAAUAAAUAAGUAAAGCUUGGAAAGGUGAAAAACCAUAGUUUUAGAUACCGAGAGAGUAAUCUGUAUGACAUUGCAUGAUCAGUUUGAGCAAAUAUGAAGUGAGUGGAGGUAGAAGGUUGGCCACCGUCCUAAAGGGGUUUGUGAGAGAGGCCUAUGGCUAUGGUGACUAAGAUGCUGCCACCCUCUAUUUUCAACAUAUAAUUAAUGUGGUGAAUGUGAUCAAGUAUUUAUUGGUCGGCCAAUAUUGUUUUCUUCAUCCAUAGAAUUGCCUCAUCAGUCAAUCUCCGUUUAAUACAUUAUCACUAAGAUAGGCGGCUAAGAUAGCCACCCAAGGGGGGGCCUUUUAGAGUAAAGGGGCAUUUUCCAUGAUUAGGAUUAGGAAGGCUCCUAUGUCCUCCUAUCUUAUGCUGGCCUGGUUAUAGACAAAGUUUAUUUAAUGCUAUCACAAAUCAUGUACCAAUCUAAAUUGAUGUUAUUUCAAAUUAUAAAGUCAGAAGUUUUCCUUUAAUCAAA
Molecule: RNA transcript, 1969 nt
Organism: Gossypium arboreum
Lineage: Eukaryota; Viridiplantae; Streptophyta; Magnoliopsida; Malvales; Malvaceae
Gene name: serine/threonine protein phosphatase 2A 57 kDa regulatory subunit B' beta isoform-like
Exons: 4
Source: RefSeq, a predicted model, not a curated record